UUCAUCCAGAGUAACGGAGGGACUGGCCCUAUGAAGUUACGGCAACCAUCUGGAAAGCGCUCCUUUCCACGAACGGUGCUAAGUCCAUCAGGCAUUGCCUGAAAGAUGAA
RNAcentral lists this non-coding RNA (110 nucleotides) under Acidaminococcus timonensis. Its description in RNAcentral is "SAM riboswitch (S box leader)". It matches the Rfam family "SAM riboswitch aptamer (S box leader)". Rfam says of the family: The SAM riboswitch is found upstream of a number of genes which code for proteins involved in methionine or cysteine biosynthesis in Gram-positive bacteria. The SAM riboswitch acts at the level of transcription termination control. The predicted structure consists of a complex stem-loop region followed by a single stem loop terminator region. Lineage: Bacteria; Bacillati; Bacillota; Negativicutes; Acidaminococcales; Acidaminococcaceae. The record is from RNAcentral.